GAUUCGAGCCGUUCGGAGUUGGAAAAUCGAGGGAAAGGCCUUCUAGUUGAUUGAGGUAAGUAUGUCUAACCUUGUGCGGGGGAAACUCCCCUUAGAAUUUGAUAUUGUUGUGAUAAUUGUGAUAUGUGAAAGCCGUGUACGCAAGGUGACGAGUGCGUACACGGGCUAAAUGUUAAAUUUAUGGUUUUUAGCUAUGUGGUUCUCUUUCAUGCCUUAAUUGAGUUACUUUAACAUGUUGUAGUCCUCAUAAUUAGUCUAAUUUUGCAUGCCUACUUGUCUCAUCUCUUAUUUGCAACUUGUCCUACAUGCUUAGUUGAAUUACUUUCUUUCUUUCAUUCCGUAUUCAUUAUUUAACUGUUGAAUUCUUACUCGAAAUUGUUAUUCUUGGAAUAUUAUGUUGUUGAAUUUGGUAUUUAGUUGCAAAGGUCGUGGUUCCUAUUGAGACGAAGCGCAAGUUGUGAGACAUCAUUUUAUUGAGUUACUCUCCGGUUGUUAUUGUUGAGACUUGUGUACAUUGUGGUUGAACCGUGGGCUCCUUAAUUUUGAAAUUUUGUUAUUGUUUGGUUUUCUGGCAAGUUGUGAUAUUUGGUCACUUGAGGUGCGAAUUGUGAUACGUUGUGAUAUUGAUACACAUGCAGUGGUAUAAGGUCUACGUGUUGAAACGCAUACGGUGAGAUAAGGUGAGCUUGAUACGCGUGGCUAGUAGGGGAACUACUAGAAGCCAUACAGUGUGAUAAGGUGGGCUAAAAUGUGGGAUGCUAUUUUGGAAAAAUGAUUUCUAAAACUAAAUGUAAAGGCUCCCGCGGUGAUAUAAGGAAAGGUUGUGAGUUAUUUUUAUGAUUUGGGACUACGAGGCGGUACCUCGGUAGUAGCCCUUGUUGAUCUUUCUCUAUUUGCUAUAGUUGCUUUGGUUGUUUGUUUUCUUAACAUGUUAAUCCUUGCUUCCUUUCGUGUUGUAUUAACUGUCUUGAUUCUGUGUUAUUAAUUUUCGUAAAUUUCCUUAUUGUUUCAUUUCCAUUGUCUUUAUUAGUAUAUCAUUAUAAUUUUUGCCUUGUUUCUUAUUAUCUCCAAUUUGGCCUUGACAUGACCUUGUCACUACUCUACCGAAGUUAGUCUUGGUACUUACUGGGUACCGUUGUGGUGUACUCAUACUACGCUUCUGUACAUCGUUUUGUGCAGAUCCAGGUACUUCCUAUCAGUCCCGGCAUUAGUGGCCCUUGUUGAUCUUUCUUUAUUUGCUAUAGUUGCUUUGGUUGUUUGUUUUCUUAACAUGUUAAUCAUUGCUUCCUUCCGUGUUGUAUUAACUGUCUUGAUUCUGUAUUGUUAAUUUCCGUAAAUUUCCUAAUUGCUUCAUUUCCAUUUAGUAUAUCAUUAUAAUUUUUGCCUUAUUUCUUAUUAUCUCCGGUAGGACCUUGACAUGACCUCGUCACUACUCUACCGAAGUUAGUCUUAGCACUUACUGGGUACCAUUGUGGUGUACUCAUACUACGCUUCUGCACAUCAUUUUGUGCAGAUCCAGGUACUUCCUAUCAGUUCCGGCAUUAGUGAGCUGAGGUGACUUUGGAGACUUCAAGGUACACAUGCCCGCGUCCGCAGGCCUCAGAGUCCCCUUCUAUCCCGUUUUUCCUUCUUUCAUUACACUAUCUUAGACAAUGAUGUAUCGGAUUGUUCAGAAUUGUUGCUAGGGCUUUUGACUUAUACUUCACGAGGUUUUGGGCAUUAUACAUUUUGAGUUAUAGAUUUUAUUUAUCCAGU
This 1755-nucleotide long non-coding RNA is filed under the name Nicotiana tabacum (common tobacco). RNAcentral describes it as "long non-coding RNA (NTAB_LNC018091)". Lineage: Eukaryota; Viridiplantae; Streptophyta; Magnoliopsida; Solanales; Solanaceae. The record is from RNAcentral.